CGUACACUCCUACGGGAGGCAGCAGUGGGGAAUAUUGCACAAUGGGCGCAAGCCUGAUGCAGCGACGCCGCGUGGGGGAUGAAGGCCUUCGGGUUGUAAACUCCUUUCGCUAGGGACGAAGCUUUUUUGUGACGGUACCUAGAUAAGAAGCACCGGCUAACUACGUGCCAGCAGCCGCGGUAAUACGUAGGGUGCGAGCGUUGUCCGGAAUUACUGGGCGUAAAGGGCUCGUAGGUGGUUUGUCGCGUCGUCUGUGAAAUUCUGGGGCUUAACUCCGGGCGUGCAGGCGAUACGGGCAUAACUUGAGUGCUGUAGGGGUAACUGGAAUUCCUGGUGUAGCGGUGAAAUGCGCAGAUAUCAGGAGGAACACCGAUGGCGAAGGCAGGUUACUGGGCAGUUACUGACGCUGAGGAGCGAAAGCAUGGGUAGCGAACAGGAUUAGAAACCCCUGUAGUCCCAUG
RNAcentral lists this ribosomal RNA (461 nucleotides) under uncultured organism. Its description in RNAcentral is "partial 16S ribosomal RNA". It matches the Rfam family "Bacterial small subunit ribosomal RNA", at positions 330 to 799 of the family's 1533-position model. The record is from RNAcentral.